Molecule: long non-coding RNA, 2432 nt
Filed under: Venturia canescens
Lineage: Eukaryota; Metazoa; Arthropoda; Insecta; Hymenoptera; Ichneumonidae
Description: uncharacterized LOC122409147, transcript variant X1
Source: RNAcentral
UUCGACCUUGGUCCAGUCGAGCAUUCUUCCGCCCACGUCAAGCAUCGCGCGGUCAUUCUGCUCGGAAAUCUCUUUUCCGUUUCGAUUCGCCUGCUUAUGAAGCUCUCGGUCACUCGAGAUUCCCGGGGAAGGAAGUUCGAAAGGUUUUUACUCCGGUUCCGGCUCAUUCUCGACUCGCGGAAGAGACCACGAGGAAGUUCGGCUGGCACCGAGUUGGAGAAAAGAAAAAUUAUCACGCGUUAUUAAAACGUCCCAGAGACGUCGAAAAAAACGAGUUUUUCACAAUUACAUCUAGACUUUCUCAACCGACCUUCAUGUUUUAUCGCAAGUCCUUAAUGACAGUUGCGACCACCGCGGAAAACAUAGCUCCCGGUCUGAAAAAGCGCGCGGUCGCAACGCUCCCAUCGUGGAAACAACGCAUGGGUGAGCUUUCUUCUGACCGCCUUGUCAACUUUUGGCCGCCGGGAAAGCAAUUGGGGAAAUAAAAUGGCUCGAAAAGCUCAAUUCCUCAUAAUUUCGGAGCUGCAGCGAAGCGCCCGCAAGCUUUUCAUUUGAGCUGGGCGUUGACUCGCUACCGCAUCUCUUGACAUCGUGGCUCAGUGACGUUUGGAUAUUCCAUUGCUCACUGUUAAAAAAAUCAUUGCUUCGUCCAUGGGAAUACGGAAUUCACCAAUCUCCAAUGAUUGGGCUCCACCGCCGAGGCGUGGCUAAGCGGAAAACGAGUGCAGUGAUCAGCGCCGUUGGCACUAAAAUUCCAGUUGAAAAUAAAACAACAAAUAUUUCAUCGCGAUGAGUGCAGAAAAUAGUACGUGGCCACAUUUCGCGGUGCGAUGUAGAGAAAAUAUUUGUUCGAGGUACCCGCAAAAAGUCGGCUGUUCCAAUAGCAAUUGAUGUUGGGCAACCCCGUUGCCCAGCCGCACCGUUUCAGUGUUUUCAUGUGAGCGAACCGGAUCCGGACACCUUCUCCUGGAGGCGAGCGCCAUUCGCGUUGUCCCUCUCCAGCCCGCGAGGAUUCCACGUGCUUCUCAGAACAAAGGGAGCUCGAGGGAGACGAAGAGAGCGAGAUAAUGUUAAUGGCGUUGAUGUCGCAGUACGAAACAUUCGAGUCGCGCCGACCGGGGGGUUCAACUUGGCGCGAACAUCGCGAGGAGAUCGGUUCACGCUUUUCGAACAUUUAUCUCCAACAUUCCGACUCGAAAUCAGAAGACACACGAGAUUUUAAACGACUAGGAAGUCAAGAAAGUCGGGAUACUCCUCGACUGGAGUUCACGCUGAUGAAAAAUGCAGUUUAGACUUCUGAGAAAGUCAAGCACACGUAAACGUUUUCAAAUCGAUGACACUCUGAUGAAAAUGCUUGCAGUCGACACUAAAAAUACCGCAAACGAUUAGCCACUUUGCCACAAACCGUCCAUCAGACUGGAGCAGAAAAUGCGAGGAUCGAAGCCCGCCAAAAUAUCUAAAGAAAGACUUGAGGAAGCCUCCGGGGAACUGCUUUUAUUGGCCCAUGAAAAAGAUCGAGAGUUUAUUACGAAAGUAAUGUCUCGAAAUAUCGAUCGGCGUCAACCUUCUUCGGGUGGGAUAUGUUCCAAAAUAGCAUCCGGAUCGCACUUGCAGAUGAAAUUCAACGUGAUUUUCCAAAGGGGAUUGAGAAAAAAUGUUGUCGUGUGGCAACUUGCCGAAACGUCGGCAGUGUAGUUACGUGACGUUUCGUAAUUAUUCAAUUCGUGGAGUUUUCAACAGCUCCCGAGCAUUCUCAUGCCUUCGUCCGUUAUUUUCUGCAUUGAGAUAAUAUUCCUUGACGAUUGUGGCGCCACUAGCGCGAGGAAGAUGCUCGGGAAUGUCCGAGGUGAAUUCAUCCAACCGAAAUGAAUGACGUUUGGCUCAUUUUCGCAUUCCCUCCUGCCGGGGGCUGAAACACUUUCAUUUCGAUCGAUCAGUGUUGGGAAUUUCUCGUUUUCGAUACUCGGAGGGAAAUGUCCCGAGGUAGAACGGUCAGGAAACUCCCAUUCAAGAGUAAACCGACUUUCAGAUUUGUCAAUGUACCGUAAUUGUAAAAAACUAGAUGAUAUUACUCGAAAUUCAAAAUAAUUUAGGGAAAAACAUGAAUUUUUGAGAGACUCUGCAUCUUUCAACAUUUUUUUUUAGCAUCGUUCAAAUGUAAUUACGAACUUUUCACUUGGAACAAUUACGUAACUCCGAAAGUUUGUGGUAAAACGUUAUCAUUUUUGGGCACCCGUGCAACGCCGACCCAUCGUUCCACCGCUUUCAUAUUAAUUUUGCCAACAUUUCUUUGACGUUGAAAGGAAUGUGACAAAAUGAAGGGUUUGCCUGACAGGACGUGGGUGAAAAAUAGUUAUUUCAAAAACAAAUAUCACGACUUUUUUUGAUAUCCUGGAACGUUUGUCCUGACCGGAAGCCAAUGCGCGUUAAUA